CGCGAGACGUGUUGGAAGGACGAAACAGUUCAUGCACAGAGACAAGAUUCAUGGCCCUGCUCUCAUGUGGACAUCUGAUCUCAGAUAAAGAGACGACUGCGCUCUAGGAAAUGGUCACUGGCCUCAUCGAAGAUGUUUGCUGUUACUGCACAUGUGUUUUAUUUUGCCCCUUGAGACACAACUCUGGCUGAAGUGUCUCUGUUGUGCAAUAAUCGGGCAAAAAGUAACAACUGGCUCACGAUAGCUCAACUCCCACUGUUUUGUGGGCUUUGGGUAUGGAACCGAGCCAGAUACUAAGACUCAGUUUACCACAAAGUUAAUUAUUCAUGAUGAGUAAAACCUGGAGUACUUUGAGUACAAUUUGUUACACUUAAUCAAUUUCUGCCUGUCUUGUUUAUUUGUUUGAUAUUUGCUUAAGCUUGUUUUAAUGAGUAGUUUAACAAACACUUUACUGAUUUGCAAUCUUCACAACAAAGAUACCACUUUGCCUUGUUUUCUACUCAUAAGACAGAAGACCCAGGAGUCACCUCUGAUGGACCAGAUAAAGCUGUAGAGCAGCAGUACAGUGGCUCCAGAAGCGUUGGACCCCCAUCUUUUGGCGUGACAUUUGAAGACGUCUGCAGGUAUGUAUUAAAUAAGACAUGGUUGAAAGUGAGUAUUUUGCAUCUUGACACCUUGAAACAUAUGCUUUAAGAAAGGUCACGUCUCAAGACAGCAGUAAAGCUUUGUGAAAUUGUUGAAUAAAAGAUGUUCAAUAAAAAAAUAAAAGUCACUGAGUGUCUUUUAUUUAAAUGCAACCCCAAAUUAUCUUUGCUCAAAUUGCAACAGCAGUUAAGGCUUUUGUUUACAUCUAUCAAAUGAGGUUGAUUGAUCUCAAACACCUCCUUACUGAUUAUUUUUUUCAUAGAGUCCUAAAGUGAGACUGUUACUGGUGACUGAGAGCUGUCAUCAGUGGUCUGAAUGUCCUUGGUCCUUUAAAUCAAAUAACUGAUAAUGAAUGACAAAAAUCCAUCUAUCCAACCCAUUUUAGGAAGGAUACCAGUUUUCAACCCCAAAAUACAGUGCUCUUGAAGGUCAGAUAGCUCAUUGAGUAACCAUUUUCAAUAUUUUUAAAUCAAUUAUUUGAACCAAAUUAAGUUUAUUCACAGGUCAGAACUUCUUUCAAGUAUAACCAUGAUUAUCAUAUACAACUCCAGUCUGUUCAGUUUGAUUUAAACACAUUAUCAAUAUAAGUAGGCACACAUCAGUACUUUUACAUUAUUCCAUCUGUUGUUUGUAUCUUAUCUGAACUUUACACAGAGAGUCAUUUAUACACAAAAAAAACAAGUUCAAUAAUUUCCACCAAUAAUUAAAAUUGUACAAAAAUCAUCACACUUUGUCAAACUUGACAUUCAGUAGGGAGAGACAAGACUCUUCUAUGUAUUUCGAAAACUAAGUUUACUCACAGAUUAUUUUACAAAUAAAGUUAGAGGCAGCGCCCUGAGAAUAUUAUGUCCAAGCAGAUGAAUGUGCUUCUCAAAAAUAAUGCAUUGUAAUGCUUUUUCGUAUGGUAUCACAGUUUUAUGUUCACAGUCAAUGUUAAUAACCACCACCUUCUAAAACAUUUGACAGAGCUUCAGGAGCAAAAACGACCACGUUCAUGAACACAUUCACUCCGUAUGCAGAUGA
Long non-coding RNA from Eleginops maclovinus (Patagonian blennie), 1668 nucleotides. RefSeq lists it as uncharacterized. The transcript has 3 exons. The record is from RefSeq and is a predicted model, not a curated record. Lineage: Eukaryota; Metazoa; Chordata; Actinopteri; Perciformes; Eleginopidae.